This 148-nucleotide non-coding RNA is filed under the name Chlorocebus sabaeus (green monkey). Lineage: Eukaryota; Metazoa; Chordata; Mammalia; Primates; Cercopithecidae. The record is from Rfam by way of RNAcentral.
GCCAGGUGUGGUGGUGCACACCUGUAGUCCCAGCUACUUAGGAGGCUGAGGUGGGAGGAUCACUUGAGCCUGGGAAAUUAAGGUUGCAGUGAGCGGUGAUCACCCCACUGCACUCUAGCCUGGGUGACAGAGUGAGAUCCUGUGUCAA